UACGUAGGGUGCGAGCGUUGUCCGGAAUUAUUGGGCGUAAAGAGCUUGUAGGCGGUUUGUCGCGUCUGCUGUGAAAAUCCGGGGCUCAACCCCGGACUUGUAGUGGGUACGGGCAGACUAGAGUGUGGUAGGGGAGACUGGAAUUCCCGGUGUAGCGGUGGAAUGCGCAGAUAUCAGGAGGAACACCGAUGGCGAAGGCAGGUCUCUGGGCCACUACUGACGCUGAGAAGCGAUAGCAUGGGGAGCGAACAGG
Molecule: ribosomal RNA, 253 nt
Filed under: uncultured bacterium
Lineage: Bacteria
Description: partial 16S ribosomal RNA
Rfam family: Bacterial small subunit ribosomal RNA
Source: RNAcentral